GUGCAUGGUGAGCGGUUAUUUACAGUUGCAUUUGUGACUUCUCGUCGGAAGAAGAAGAACGACGAUGGUUGUUUUUGUGGGCGGCGCCAAGGUUGAGGGAAGAAAAGGCUCAUUGGGUUUCAGGGUGCUGAUUAUGGUUUCGGCUAGAAUAUUUUGGUGCGACGGUGACCGGUGUUUCGUGGUGGGAUGGCGGAAACGCGGUUGUGUGAUGGGUGUAUUUUUGCGGUGGUCGGAGUUGGUGACAGACGGAGGGAGCUCGAGGGAGGGUUGGUGUUGUUGCGAAGUUGACAGAGGAGUUAAUAGUGGCGUUUUCACGGUGGAUGUGUUGUUGAGUGAAGAACGGAGGUGAGGGUAUGGACAUCGUUUUUUAAGUUGGAGGAAGAAGAUGAUCACGGCCGGUGGUGGGAGAUCUCUUUUUCAAGAAGAUGAACAGUGGUUCAUCUUUUCCUAUUUUCUUUUCUUUUUUCAUUUUUUUCUUUUCUUAUUUUUGAGAGAGAGAGUCUUUUUGAGAGGGGUGUGUUGGUCCGUCCGUUUUGAGAUGUCAAAGGAAAAGAUUAUUUUCUUUUUUUCGCGUGAGAGAGAGGCUCCUCAGAAUUAGCUGGAGAAGCCAACCCCCCCUUUUUUAUCCUAUUUUCAUUUCUAAAAAGAAAGCCAAACA
Molecule: long non-coding RNA, 658 nt
Filed under: Lathyrus oleraceus (garden pea)
Lineage: Eukaryota; Viridiplantae; Streptophyta; Magnoliopsida; Fabales; Fabaceae
Description: Pisum sativum (pea) long non-coding RNA (PSAT_LNC000359)
Source: RNAcentral